Molecule: long non-coding RNA, 703 nt
Filed under: Panax ginseng (ginseng)
Lineage: Eukaryota; Viridiplantae; Streptophyta; Magnoliopsida; Apiales; Araliaceae
Description: long non-coding RNA (PGIN_LNC004333)
Source: RNAcentral
UUUUAUUGGGUCAAACUAAUUAUUUAUUUAUAUGGGCUAAUAAAUAUUAAUAUGUGAUGGAUAAAUAAUUUGGUAAAAUUUGGGCCAUAAAAAUAAUUAGAUUUAUUAUAAUAUAGAAUUAACAAGACAUAUUAAUAAGUAAACAAAUAACUAAAAAGACCUAAUCUGAAUUGGUGAGGGAAAAAGCCGCCGUUCGAAAGCUUCCAAUAGAAAGAGGAAAGAGAUUUGUUCAACAAAGGUGAGAUAAAAUCUUGAAACUCUCAUAUCAAUUGUAAAGAUUAUGUAUGUAUAAUAUAUGAAAAUAGAAAAUAUAUGAUGUGUAUGUGUUACUGUUAAUAUAUGAUUAUGCAUGUAUAAUAUAUGAAAUUACUGUUAAUUUUUGAAAAUAUAUAAAAGAUUACUUGUUAAGGGUAUGGGAGAGUUUAAUAAAUAAAAGAAAAUAAGAUUACAUGUUAAAGUUUGACAAUUGGAUGUUUACUUUUGAAUCGGUUGACGGGAAGUUGUGAAUAAAGGAAGAAAAAGACAAGUAAAUAAGUAGAAGUUGGACGGUGUGCAUUGGAAAGAACGAAGCAGAAGUCUGAGCACACUAAUUUUAUUAUUUUAAUAAUAUAGUAUAACUUCUAUAAAUUAAUAUUUGAUAAAUUAAUAAUUUUUUUAAAAUAAUAUUUUUUUCAGUCUCAGCUUGGGCUAAUGGAAUAAAUUA